AAUUUGUUGUGGGCAAAUGAAAUGAAUAUGUGCGUCAAUCCCUCCUGCUGUGAUAAUUUGUCCCUCGCCUGCAAUGGCUUCGGUACCCGCCCCGAUGGCGAUAUCAACAUCAGAUUGGAUAUCCGGAUUACCCGCUUUACCAAUGCCUGCUAUGCGACCAUUCUUGAUCCCAAUAUCUGCUUUUACGAUGCCCCAAUGAUCUAGGAUAAGGACAUUCGUGAUUACAGUGUCAACCACAUCUGCAGAACUCAGUUGACUCUGUCCCAUACCAUCAC
This 275-nucleotide small RNA is filed under the name marine eukaryotic metagenome. Its description in RNAcentral is "5' ureB small RNA". It matches the Rfam family "5' ureB small RNA". The record is from RNAcentral.